GAAAAGAAACUACAAGGAUUCCCCUAGUAACUGCGAGUGAAGCGGGAAGAGCUCAAAUUUGAAAUCUGGCGGCUCUUUGACCGUCCGAGUUGUAAUCUAGAGAAGUGCUACCCGUGCUGGACUGUGUACAAGUCUCCUGGAAUGGGGCAUCGUAGAGGGUGAGAAUCCCGUCUUUGACACGGACUGCCAGUGCGCCCUGGGUGUGCUCUCGAAGAGUCGAGUUGUUUGGGAAUGCAGCUCAAAAUGGGUGGUAAAUGCCAUCUAAAGCUAAAUAUUGGCGAGAGACCGAUAGCGAACAAGUACCGUGAGGGAAAGAUGAAAAGAACUUUGGAAAGAGAGUUAAACAGUACGUGAAAUUGCUGAAAGGGAAACGCUUGGAGUCAGUCGCGUUGGCCAGAAAUCAGCCUUGCUCCUGCUUGGUGUACUUUCUGGUCUUUUACGGGUCAGCAUCAAUCUUGACCGCCGGACAAAGUCUUUGGGAAUGUGGCAUCUUUUGGAUGUGUUAUAGCCCAGGGUCGCAUACGGCGGCUGGGAUUGAGGAACUCAGCACGCCCGCAAGGGAUGGGUCCUUGGACCACAAAUUUUUUUCGUGCUUAGGAUGCUGGCAUAAUGGCUUCAAUCGACCCGUCUUGAAACACGGACCAAGGAGUCUAACAUGCCUGCGAGUGUG
This 670-nucleotide ribosomal RNA is filed under the name Inocybe praetervisa. RNAcentral's name for it is "eukaryotic LSU rRNA". It matches the Rfam family "Eukaryotic large subunit ribosomal RNA", at positions 56 to 694 of the family's 3401-position model. The record is from RNAcentral. Lineage: Eukaryota; Fungi; Basidiomycota; Agaricomycetes; Agaricales; Inocybaceae.